Molecule: ribosomal RNA, 696 nt
Filed under: Erwinia tasmaniensis
Lineage: Bacteria; Pseudomonadati; Pseudomonadota; Gammaproteobacteria; Enterobacterales; Erwiniaceae
Description: partial 16S ribosomal RNA
Rfam family: Bacterial small subunit ribosomal RNA (bases 504-677)
Source: RNAcentral
CUAUCUCAAUGAUAAAAAGGAUCAAGAUUUGCAAAGAUAUCAGUGUCAUUCGUCUGGGGUUUGCCAAGAAAACGUUUAAAAGUUGUCCAAGAAGAGUAAUAUGAAUACUGAGUGCGAGGGGACCUUCCUGAUAUAAUUCUGACAUGUCUACUACUCAAUGAUGUCUGCAGAAUUACCAAUAUAGUCCCAGCCCUAAAGUUCCUCGUUUUUAUGGUUGUAUAGCCAGCACAUCCUACGCGUCAGUGAGCAUUGCAGGAGCAGGAACAGAAAUUAGAAUAUUUGUGGUGAUUUCAGUCAAAAUAUUAGAUAUAUGAGGCUUCCAGUACUUUUUCUCGCACAAAGGGCAGUGAAUCAACAAUUAGAGAAACUUGUUAGGGCAGCGAAUUGAAGUUAAGAGAAAGUUCUGAUGAUCCACAGGUAAAUCACAAAUCCAAGCACUUAAGCCUUCAAGCCACGAAUAGGUGGGACCCCAUUAGAUUAAAGAACCAAACGAAAAGUGCAUGUAGGCGGCAGUUUGGUCAGAUGUGAAGUCCCCUGGUUCAACCCGGGAACAACAUUGGAAAUAGGCGGGUUAGAGUCUUCAGAGGGUUGUAGAAUUCCUUGUGUAGCUGUGAAAUGCGUAGAGAUCUGGAGGAAUACCGGUGGCGAAGGCGGCCCCCUGGACGAAGACUACGUCAGUCGAAGUAGUCCGCAUCC